This 886-nucleotide ribosomal RNA is filed under the name Escherichia coli. RNAcentral's name for it is "partial 23S ribosomal RNA". It matches the Rfam family "Bacterial large subunit ribosomal RNA", at positions 2042 to 2925 of the family's 2925-position model. Lineage: Bacteria; Pseudomonadati; Pseudomonadota; Gammaproteobacteria; Enterobacterales; Enterobacteriaceae. The record is from RNAcentral.
UUGAACUCGCUGUGAAGAUGCAGUGUACCCGCGGCAAGACGGAAAGACCCCGUGAACCUUUACUAUAGCUUGACACUGAACAUUGAGCCUUGAUGUGUAGGAUAGGUGGGAGGCUUUGAAGUGUGGACGCCAGUCUGCAUGGAGCCGACCUUGAAAUACCACCCUUUAAUGUUUGAUGUUCUAACGUUGACCCGUAAUCCGGGUUGCGGACAGUGUCUGGUGGGUAGUUUGACUGGGGCGGUCUCCUCCUAAAGAGUAACGGAGGAGCACGAAGGUUGGCUAAUCCUGGUCGGACAUCAGGAGGUUAGUGCAAUGGCAUAAGCCAGCUUGACUGCGAGCGUGACGGCGCGAGCAGGUGCGAAAGCAGGUCAUAGUGAUCCGGUGGUUCUGAAUGGAAGGGCCAUCGCUCAACGGAUAAAAGGUACUCCGGGGAUAACAGGCUGAUACCGCCCAAGAGUUCAUAUCGACGGCGGUGUUUGGCACCUCGAUGUCGGCUCAUCACAUCCUGGGGCUGAAGUAGGUCCCAAGGGUAUGGCUGUUCGCCAUUUAAAGUGGUACGCGAGCUGGGUUUAGAACGUCGUGAGACAGUUCGGUCCCUAUCUGCCGUGGGCGCUGGAGAACUGAGGGGGGCUGCUCCUAGUACGAGAGGACCGGAGUGGACGCAUCACUGGUGUUCGGGUUGUCAUGCCAAUGGCACUGCCCGGUAGCUAAAUGCGGAAGAGAUAAGUGCUGAAAGCAUCUAAGCACGAAACUUGCCCCGAGAUGAGUUCUCCCUGACUCCUUGAGAGUCCUGAAGGAACGUUGAAGACGACGACGUUGAUAGGCCGGGUGUGUAAGCGCAGCGAUGCGUUGAGCUAACCGGUACUAAUGAACCGUGAGGCUUAAC